This 253-nucleotide ribosomal RNA is filed under the name uncultured bacterium. Its description in RNAcentral is "partial 16S ribosomal RNA". It matches the Rfam family "Bacterial small subunit ribosomal RNA", at positions 524 to 776 of the family's 1533-position model. The record is from RNAcentral.
UACGUAGGGGGCGAGCGUUGUCCGGAUUUACUGGGCGUAAAGCGCGCGUAGGCGGAGCGUUAAGUCCGGUCUGAAAGCCCCCGGCUCAACCGGGGAAGGUGGCUGGAAACUGGCGCACUGGAGGGCGGCAGAGGCGUGUGGAAUUCCUGGUGUAGCGGUGAAAUGCGUAGAGAUCAGGAGGAACACCGGUGGCGAAGGCGCUCUGCUAGGCCGUAACUGACACUGAGGGACGAAAGCUAGGGGAGCGAAUGGG